This 253-nucleotide ribosomal RNA is filed under the name uncultured bacterium. Its description in RNAcentral is "partial 16S ribosomal RNA". It matches the Rfam family "Bacterial small subunit ribosomal RNA", at positions 524 to 776 of the family's 1533-position model. The record is from RNAcentral.
CACGGGGGGAGCAAGCGUUGUUCGGAAUCACUGGGCGUAAAGGGCGUGUAGGCGGUCAAGUAAGUGGAAUGUGAAAGCCCCCGGCUUACCCGGGGAUCUGCAUCCCAAACUGCUUGGCUUGAGUACGGGAGAGGAUAGGGGAAUUCCUGGUGUAGCGGUGAAAUGCGUAGAUAUCAGGAGGAACACCGGUGGCGAAGGCGGGUCUCUGGGCCGAUACUGACGCUGAGGAGCGAAAGCGUGGGGAGCGAACAGG